This 869-nucleotide ribosomal RNA is filed under the name uncultured bacterium. RNAcentral's name for it is "bacterial SSU rRNA". It matches the Rfam family "Bacterial small subunit ribosomal RNA", at positions 8 to 904 of the family's 1533-position model. The record is from RNAcentral.
AGAGUUUGAUCCUGGCCUCAGGAUGAACGCUGGCGGCGCUGCCUAACACAUGCAAGUCGAGCGAUUCUCUUCGGAGAAGAGCGGCGGACGGGUGAGUAACGCGUGGGUAACCUGCCCUGUACACACGGAUAACAUACCGAAAGGUAUGCUAAUACGGGAUAACAUAUUUUGAUGGCAUCAUCGAAAUAUCAAAGCUCCGGCGGUACAGGAUGGACCCGCGUCUGAUUAGCUAGUUGGUGAGGUAAUGGCUCACCAAGGCGACGAUCAGUAGCCGACCUGAGAGGGUGAUCGGCCACAUUGGAACUGAGACACGGUCCAAACUCCUACGGGAGGCAGCAGUGGGGAAUAUUGCACAAUGGGCGAAAGCCUGAUGCAGCAACGCCGCGUGAGCGAUGAAGGCCUUCGGGUCGUAAAGCUCUGUCCUCAAGGAAGAUAAUGACGGUACUUGAGGAGGAAGCCCCGGCUAACUACGUGCCAGCAGCCGCGGUAAUACGUAGGGGGCUAGCGUUAUCCGGAAUUACUGGGCGUAAAGGGUGCGUAGGUGGUUUUUUAAGUCAGAAGUGAAAGGCUACGGCUCAACCGUAGUAAGCUUUUGAAACUGAGAAACUUGAGUGCAGGAGAGGAGAGUAGAAUUCCUAGUGUAGCGGUGAAAUGCGUAGAUAUUAGGAGGAAUACCAGUUGCGAAGGCGGCUCUCUGGACUGUAACUGACACUGAGGCACGAAAGCGUGGGGAGCAAACAGGAUUAGAUACCCUGGUAGUCCACGCCGUAAACGAUGAGUACUAGGUGUCGGGGGUUACCCCCCUCGGUGCCGCAGCUAACGCAUUAAGUACUCCGCCUGGGAAGUACGCUCGCAAGAGUGAAACUCAA